GAUGAAGAACGUAGCGAAAUGCGAUAAGUAGUGUGAAUUGCAGAAUUCAGUGAAUCAUCGAAUCUUUGAACGCACAUUGCGCCCCUUGGUAUCCCGAGGGGCAUGCCUGUUCGAGCGUCAUUUCACCACUCAAGCCUGGCUUGGUGUUGGGCGACGUCCCCUUUGGGGACGCGCCUCGAAACGCUCGGCGGCGUGGCACCGGCUUUAAGCGUAGCAGAAUCUUUCGCUUUGGAAGUCGGGGCCCCGUCUGCCGGAAGACCUACUCGCAAGGUUGACCUCGGAUCAGGCAGGGAUACCCGCUGAACUUAGGCAUAUCAAUAAGCGGAGGA
This 329-nucleotide unclassified non-coding RNA is filed under the name soil metagenome. RNAcentral's name for it is "partial contains 5.8S ribosomal RNA, internal transcribed spacer 2, and large subunit ribosomal RNA". The stretch from base 1 to 120 matches the Rfam family "5.8S ribosomal RNA", at positions 35 to 154 of the family's 154-position model. The record is from RNAcentral.